RNAcentral lists this long non-coding RNA (935 nucleotides) under Homo sapiens (human). Its description in RNAcentral is "non-protein coding LINC01869:28". Lineage: Eukaryota; Metazoa; Chordata; Mammalia; Primates; Hominidae. The record is from RNAcentral.
GUGGGAUGUCUCUCUCUCCCCCACUCUCUGUUUCCCUUUCUUUUUUUGUCCCCUCUCUCCAGGGCUCCUGAUUUCUCUUCAGCCUGACGCUCUUUUCAGUUAACGGCAAGGCGGUGCACCCAAGUCCGGUGGUGUCCUACCUGGUGACCUCCUACCUGUGCUGGGACGCCAGCGACUUGAUGCUGCACUCCGGAGCCGUGUCCUACCUAAGCCCAGUGGGCAUGUGAAGCAGAGGGCAGCCCUUGAAUGCGCGGCGGCUGAGCUACCGCGGGUGGGCCGUGCAGCAGGGCGCAGCGAGGCGGACAUCCAAACAGCGGAACUCAGACGCUGACUCCGAGCGCACCCCGGGCCUUCCCAUUUCAUACACCCUCGAGGAUGAGACCCAAGCACCUCCAAGGAAUAGCACCCGAGGUCUUCAGGACACCGACCGGUAGCCAUGGCCAGAUGCCCGGCCAACCCCUUCAGCGUGGCCACGCCCUGGAUAUUCGACCUCCCCUGAGGCCCCACCCCCUGAUAUCAGGCCACGCCCUCCGAGGGGACCGGUGGCAAACUCCAGCCCUCGCUCUAGGGCCCGCCCUUUGCGGCUUUGUCCCUGCCCACUGGGUCCUCACAGUACCUCCACCCCAGAGGCCCAGCAUCCCCUCCCGUUCUGCAGACACUUGUCCAGCGUCCCGCUGAGCUCGGCAGUGUGGCUAGUUUGUGUGGCCCUGCCCCUGGUGCCCAGCCAGGGUGGUCUGCAUGGAACUUCUUUCCCGGAGUUCCGGCCUCAGCUCCGAUGUCCACCCUUGUCCCCAGGUGGACACAGCACCGCCCAGCAUUUGGUGCAACUCCACCCUUCUGCAGAACGGGCCCCUCCCUGGGAAGGCAUGGCUUGCAAUAACAUCCCUCUGUACCUUUUCUGGCUUCCCCGCCACAAUAAAACCUCUCAGCCUCAG